CUAUACAUGACUCUGCGCAUAUCAAUAAGCGGAGGAAAAGAAACUAACAAGGAUUCCCUUAGUAACGGCGAGUGAAGCGGGAAGAGCUCAAAUUUGAAAUCUUCAAGGUUUUACCUUGACGAAUUGUAGUUUAAAGAAGUGUUUUCUGUUGGAGUUUUGGUAAAAGUUCUUUGGAAUAGGACAUCAUAGAGGGUGAGAAUCCCGUAUUUGACCAUUAUUUCAGCUGUGUGAUACACUUUCAAAGAGUCGGAUUGUUUGGGAAUGCAGUCCAAAAUGGGUGGUAAAUUUCAUCUAAAGCUAAAUAUUGGCGAGAGACCGAUAGCGAACAAGUACCGUGAGGGAAAGAUGAAAAGAACUUUGAAAAGAGAGUUAAACAGUACGUGAAAUUGUCAAAAGGGAAGCGUUUGACACCAGUGUUGUUUUCUCGAAAAUCAAUUAAAAAUGAUGGGAUUUUGUGUUGUAUUGACUUUAUCAGCUUUCUGCACUUUUUUCUUAUCUUUUUUAAUGCACUUUUCGUUUAACAAGUCAACAUCAAUUUCUUUUGUUGUAAAAGAGUCAUUGGAAGGUGGCUUUUUCUUCGGAAAAAGUGUUUAUAGCCUUUGGCUUCUGCAAUCGGAGAGAUUGAGGUCUGCAGCGUAGAUCCUUCGGGGUUAGAUACAUUUGUGCUAAGCUAUAGUUCUUUAUAGACAACUUGUUGACUAUAAUCAAUCCUGUAACUUACUCGCUUAUGCUAUUUUACCUACGCUUAGGAUGUUGACACACACGCGUGCUCG
This 773-nucleotide ribosomal RNA is filed under the name uncultured Neocallimastigales. Its description in RNAcentral is "partial large subunit ribosomal RNA". The stretch from base 6 to 692 matches the Rfam family "Eukaryotic large subunit ribosomal RNA", at positions 24 to 664 of the family's 3401-position model. The record is from RNAcentral. Lineage: Eukaryota; Fungi; Neocallimastigomycota; Neocallimastigomycetes; Neocallimastigales.